RNAcentral lists this ribosomal RNA (252 nucleotides) under uncultured bacterium. Its description in RNAcentral is "partial 16S ribosomal RNA". It matches the Rfam family "Bacterial small subunit ribosomal RNA", at positions 524 to 776 of the family's 1533-position model. The record is from RNAcentral.
UACGUAGGGGGCGAGCGUUGUCCGGAUUUAUUGGGCGUAAAGCGCGUGUAGGCGGCCAUGUAGGUCUGACGUGAAAUUCCGAGGCUCAACCUCGGCAGGUCGUUGGAAACCAUAUGGCUAGGGUCCGGAAGAGGAGAGUGGAAUUCCUGGUGUAGCGGUGAAUGCGCAGAUAUCGGGAAGAACACCCGUGGCUAAGGCGGCUCUCUAGUACGGUACUGACGCUGAGACGCGAAAGCGUGGGGAGCGAACAGG